RNAcentral lists this long non-coding RNA (294 nucleotides) under Setaria viridis. RNAcentral's name for it is "long non-coding RNA (SVIR_LNC007717)". The record is from RNAcentral. Lineage: Eukaryota; Viridiplantae; Streptophyta; Magnoliopsida; Poales; Poaceae.
UUUUGGGAUUGGGAAUGUGAUCAAGCAGUGAAGAUUUGAUGGGUUGUAUAAGAAGGUUUUUGAUGGGUUGUAUGAGAAGGUUGGUCAGUGGUGAGAGAGAAAAAACAAGCAACUUCCAACCCUUGUGAGCAACCCAAGCUGAGUGGAGAGCAACCUAACCCAGAUUGUGAGGGAAACCCUAUAGAGUGUGUUAAAGAUGGAGUGUUCAUUGAGAUACCACCAAAAGUUUCAAAGAAAGUUAUCUAGGUGGAAAAAACCAAUCACCUCAGAAAAAAGCUUGACACACUUCCUGAU